GAGUUUGAUUGACCAGUUAAAAAAGAAAAAAUAGUGGGGAAAUAAAAGGAAAGUAAAUGUUUAAGGGAUAUUUUGUAAUACUUUUUAAAUCUGUAAUACCUUUUAUACUCAUUUAUUUCUUUGAUCAUCCAGGUUGGACAAACAUUUUUGUGGUUUCAGUGGGAUAUUUUAUUGAUGGAAGUAGGAUUUUUAACUGUAUUAGUUGCUCCUUUUGGUCAUGUUCCCUCAAGUUCAUCAUUCAGUCAUCAUGACGGCAUCACAUUUUGGCUYGUGAAAUGG
Long non-coding RNA from Actinia tenebrosa (Australian red waratah sea anemone), 279 nucleotides. The record is from RefSeq and is a predicted model, not a curated record. NCBI's taxonomy places the organism in Eukaryota, Metazoa, Cnidaria, Anthozoa, Actiniaria, Actiniidae.